Molecule: ribosomal RNA, 253 nt
Filed under: uncultured bacterium
Lineage: Bacteria
Description: partial 16S ribosomal RNA
Rfam family: Bacterial small subunit ribosomal RNA
Source: RNAcentral
UACGAAGGGGGCGAGCGUUGUUCGGAUUUACUGGGCGUAAAGGGCGCGUAGGCGGCCUUGUCAGUCAGGCAUGAAAGCCCCGGGCUCAACCUGGGAACGGCGCUUGGGACGGCGAGGCUGGAGUUCGGGAGAGGAGAGUGGAACUGCGAGUGUAGAGGUGAAAUUCGUAGAUAUUCGCAAGAACACCAGUGGCGAAGGCGGCUCACUGGCCCGGUACUGACGCUGAGGUGCGAAAGCGUGGGGAGCAAACAGG